This 218-nucleotide ribosomal RNA is filed under the name Campeiostachys nutans. RNAcentral's name for it is "Elymus nutans partial small subunit ribosomal RNA". The stretch from base 49 to 218 matches the Rfam family "Eukaryotic small subunit ribosomal RNA", at positions 693 to 864 of the family's 1831-position model. The record is from RNAcentral. Lineage: Eukaryota; Viridiplantae; Streptophyta; Magnoliopsida; Poales; Poaceae.
GGAUCAAUUUUGUCGGUCGUGCCAUUUGGUACGUACUGGUAUUAUUGAUUUCUAUCUUCUGAAGAACCUUGAUGUCAUUAAUUUGAUGUCUUGGGAAAUCAGGACUGUUACCUUGAAAAAAUUAGAGUGUUUAAAGCAGGCAUGCGCUUGAAUACAUUAGCAUGGAAUAAUGAAAUAGGAUGUUCGAUUCUAUUUUGUUGGUUUCUAGGAUUGACGUA